Strigops habroptila (Kakapo) is the source of this 4209-nucleotide long non-coding RNA. RefSeq lists it as uncharacterized. NCBI's taxonomy places the organism in Eukaryota, Metazoa, Chordata, Aves, Psittaciformes, Psittacidae. The record is from RefSeq and is a predicted model, not a curated record. The transcript has 2 exons.
GUUUCAGGUCUGAUUCAGUAUGUAGAUACAAGGCACUUCACUGGUCUUGUUAUGGAUUUGGUUCAGGUUUUCUGGACAUUUCCACACUUGGCUCCUGUAGUGGUGUGUCAGCUUCUGAGGCAGUAUGAAAGGAAGAUCUCGGUGAUCCUCUGAAGUCAUUCCAGUGCUCACUGUUGCAAGUGUAUUCUGCAGUCACAGCUGUCUCCCCUUGCUCAGCUUGCUUUUCCUCCACUUCCCUAUGGACUCCAGAAGAUGGCAGACUACUAGAACUCUAUAAAAGGAAGUUCUCCUAUACUUUAUUUGCUGAUAUUUUUGGGAGGGUAAAAGUAUAAUGUAUACUUUGGGAACAGAAAAAGAUAUUUGAACAUAAAAUACCUCUUUUAUUUUGUAAUAUCUGCCUCCUGCUCCCCCAGAAGUCCUUGAAAUUUUAUAUAGAUAGAGGUCCUCUAACUGCCACGCUGAAAUACUUGUUGAACACAAGUGCAAAACUCACGCGUGCUUUUAGGGUCUUUCCUGUUGCAUUUGCCACAUUUCUCCAUGUCACUAGCUGAGGAGUCAAAUACUCAGUUUGUUGACAAGUUUGUGGUAGUUUUUGCAGACUCAAGACAUUCCUGUUUCUCGUUUAGGAAUUACUUGAUCAUAAGAUUAAUCUUGGGAAGGGCGUACCAUUCUUUAGAGAAAGAGCAAGGGAGCUUUGCACCAAGGAGUUUAUGGCUGGUUUUGGUCUUCUUAUGAGCAUGUAUAUUCAUGGACUUUGUCAAUGUGUAUCUCUUGUUUCUUCCAGUUCAUAGUUCUUCACUGCUUUACAACAGUCUUUGCUUUCACCAAGUAGUCAGGCUUAUAUCUGGACAAUCUGAGCAGAGAAGCCAUUGUACGACUGGGAAAUAGCUUUUUUCCCCAGUUAGUGGACUCCUCGUAGAAAAUUUGAAAGUGGUAAAUUUUAUUGUUGGUCUUUAAAUUGUCCAGUUUAAGUCUACACUAAUACAAUAUGAUUUCCACACCUGCGGAAAUGUCAGGCUCAGUGCUCAAGAGUAGUACAGGGAGCAGAACUUAGAAAACUGUUAGGAAAAAAAAAUACAGUAUAGAACAGAAAACAGCAUAAUGCCUCUACUAAUCUGUGGGACCACCCACAUGUUGAAUACUGCAGUACAGCUUUGGUCAUCUGUUCUGUAGUCUGUGAGGUGAAGGAAGACUAAGACUCGAAAAGAUACAGAGGGAUUGUCCAGGAUAACUGAGGUCAUCCUUCUUUCCCAUAAGAAAUGAUUGAAUAACCUGGGACCCUUCAGCUUUAGAAAAAGCAGCUGAGGAGGGAGUUACAAUUUCAGUGCCCUUCAUUAUGAAUGCCAUAGAAAGUGAAAUAAUAAGUGUGCAUUGUUUGGGGUUUGAUGACAUUGAAUGCUACUCACUGAUGGCAUGUUCAAAGCCAGAAAAAGGAUUAAACUCUGCACACAGCACCUAUUUAAACUAAAUAUUUGUUUGAGCAAUAUGAUGUUAAUGAAACAAAAGUUUGCCAAGAGUUGUUAAAAGGGAAGUUAUUAGAAUGCUUCAGAAUUAGAAAGUCCCUAGGUUGUAUAUUGCUGGAAACUAGUACUUUGAAGGAAGCAUUACUAGGUGCUAACUCUGGCCUCUUUCUUAAGCACAUACUGUAAGACAGUAAGCAGGACAAGAUAGACCUUUGGUUUGGUCUAAAAGGUAUUCUUGUACCUUAUAUUAAUGUACCAGUCUUAAUAUGUAAAUCUGUUAGUGACUUUGAACGUCUUAUUGUUUGCUGUCUGCAUGGUUUUGGGGAGAAAAAUGGAUGCAGCAUUUUGUGCAAUUAGUGUUUUUGAAGGAGUGUCAGGUGGGAUGAAUCUAGGAAGGCUUAACAGACUGACUGGGAAGAUGGUUUAUAGAAGAAAAGGAGGAAAAAAAAAAAAAGCCAGAAGCCAAGGCUCAAUUUAGUGAUUGCUGGAAGUCUGGUAAUAAAUCAGUUGGAAGAAGCUCCUGUAGCGGAUGCAGGCUGGGAAGGCAUUCAGAAGAAACGAAGAUGACCAGAUAUUUGGGCGUGACUGACUAGGUAGACCUGUGGGUUUUAUACCGGGCUGUGGCUGCAAUGUAACCUGUUUAAUUUUGCAAACACUUUUGCAGAGUAAGAACCAAUUUAAUACUAGUCUGUGGAUCUGGAUUGAGAGUCUUCAUGGAUAAGAGCUCCGUGUGCAUGUUUCACUUCUUCCUCUGAAGCCAGUCAAGUGCCAGUGCCUUUGUUAUGUAAUCCACAUCUACACUUAAAGAAACGGUUUGCAUCAUUAGACUUGUUCCAAUUAGUCUUAUAAGCCUGAAAGAGGUGAUUGAUAUUGUAGCGAGACAGACUUAUUGGUAGUCUUAAAAGCAGAGGAAACUGUCUAGUCCUUCUCAAAAAGCAAUCUGUUUGACUGGCAACUGCUUAACAUUGGAAAGGUUUGAAAAGGUCAUCUUGAUACUGUGAAGAAAGAGGCUAACAGUGUAUCUAAAAUGGAGACUCUGCUGCUGUUGCUUCCAUGCAUGUUACAAGAAUUGUGUAAUGUAGGGUAUUUGGGUGGUCCUAAACUUGGUUGUUUCUUGUGACGUGUACAUCCCUAUGUCAUGCGUCAGAGGAAGGAAAGAAACAGCAGUCGGGUGCCAUUGUUAGCUGCUCAAGAUCGCUUCUAUUUUGAGUAGUUAGUUAAAACUGUUCAUCUUGCAGCUCUGCUGUAAGUUGUAGUUCAUGUCAGCAUUUUUACGGUACUGGGAGGAACACAAUCAACUUCCUCAUCAAUUCCUGCAAGCUGGUUUAAUUACAAUUCUCAACUUUUUUUAUGUGGGUAGUAUGAAGGGACUAUCAAACUAGUUAACUACUGAACACAUUUACAGUUAGAUCUGAAUUACUUGCACUAAUUCCAAGUGCUUAUUUUUCUCUGUUUCAGAAUAAAUGGUGAUGGGCUUCUGGACUCUUUUUAGUUCUUAGGUACUCUAAAUAUCUGCAGGGAAGUGACUAGAGGCAGCUGCAAGGAUCAGCAAAUUGUUGAUCUUAAGGUUAACAGAUUAUUGUGGAUUCUGAAUGUUUUGCCUGACGAUGACAUUUGUGGGUUUUCCACACCUAUCUGAGUGUGUUUGAGCAGUUACAGACACUUAAUCGAAGUCAUAGGUAAUUUUUUUUCUUGAAAAUAUGCUAUCCUAAAAAGUCUUGCAUUUUACUCUCUUUUAUGGAAGCUGAUAGUUGUUAUCCACUGCACUAAAAGUCCUGUGGAAGGCCUUUUAUCUCUCUGAACUGCAAGAGAUUGAGGGGGGCAGGAGAACUGAAUCAUUUCUGGUGGUGGUUUUUUCCCUCAUAUAUCAGGAAGGCUUUUAUUUUUUACUGUUCUGAUGGUAUGUAUUUCCCUUCCAGCUGAUAUUCAGGCAAUGUCAGUAUGUCAGCUGUACUGAAUUCCAGUGUGAAGUUGUUAAAAUAUUUAACAUUUGACUAGCAGCUUUGGUCUGUUGCAGAGCAGGAGAGGGGUUCUUCAGUUGGAAAGCAGACAUUCUUAAUGAGAACAUAAAGGGUCAUCUAAUCAAUCUAAAAAAUCAGUUUCUUUCAACUUAUUGUUAAACCCUUAAUUUAUGGUUUUGUUUUUUUAUUGAAUUUAUUUUCUACUAAUAUAUUUACUACUGAAUUUAUUUUCAGUAGUAACAUCAAUAUUUCUGGCUUGGAAUAUGAAUAAUAUGUCAAUUACAUCAUUUGAACCACAUCAAGAGUUAGUUGAUUACACCAGAAAGUAAAUUUUAGUAGGUGUUUUAAAUGUCUGGUCUGUUUCAUAGCUCAGGCAAUCUACAAACAGGUCCUGGAACAAGCAUUUUAGUCAUCUGAAGUUAAGAGUUAUUUGUGGGGGGCUUUUUUUUUUUUUUUUCCACUUCUGAAUAAAAGAGAGAUUUCUAGACAGCAGGAUAAUUUAGAUAACAUUUCUUCCAAAGUUAUCUUAUUUCUUUCCCUUGGGAGAUAUACAUACUUCACAUUAAUUCCUCAAAAUUUUCUUAUAGAACGAAACUGAAACAGGAAACAAACAUUUGAAAGUUUAUAAAGCACCUGCAAAACUUUUCAUGAGUAACUGUAUGACAGUAAGAAUGACCAUUACUGUGGCCAUUAUGGCAUUCCAGAUAUGUAAAUAGUCCUUAGAAAACAGAAAAGAGCAAAUGUCAUUAAGGUGUAUGAAUUUGAGCCAGUAUCCUUUUAAAGAC